AUUGAACGCUGGCGGCAGGCCUAACACAUGCAAGUCGAGCGGAUGAAGGGAGCUUGCUCCUGGAUUCAGCGGCGGACGGGUGGGUAAUGCCUAGGAAUCUGCCUGGUAGUGGGGGAUAACGUCCGGAAACGGGCGCUAAUACCGCAUACGUCCUGAGGGAGAAAGUGGGGGAUCUUCGGACCUCACGCUAUCAGAUGAGCCUAGGUCGGAUUAGCUAGUUGGUGGGGUAAAGGCCUACCAAGGCGACGAUCCGUAACUGGUCUGAGAGGAUGAUCAGUCACACUGGGACUGAGACACGGUCCAGACUCCUACGGGAGGCAGCAGUGGGGAAUAUUGGAAAAUGGGCGAAAGCCUGAUCCAGCCAUGCCGCGUGUGUGAAGAAGGUCUUCGGAUUGUAAAGCACUUUAAGUUGGGAGGAAGGGCAGUAAGUUAAUACCUUGCUGUUUUGACGUUACCAACAGAAUAAGCACCGGCUAACUUCGUG
This 484-nucleotide ribosomal RNA is filed under the name uncultured bacterium. RNAcentral describes it as "partial 16S ribosomal RNA". It matches the Rfam family "Bacterial small subunit ribosomal RNA", at positions 30 to 507 of the family's 1533-position model. The record is from RNAcentral.